UAUCAACGUCGUAACAAUUGCUUUCGGUAAAAAAAAAUACACAAAACCAGUCACAGGCAGUCGGUGAACGUAUUUACAAGAGCACGUUCGUGUAUCUUAAAUUAAAAUGACUUAUGCUUUCAUAAUAGUGAUGUCUGUUGCGAUCACAUUAAAAUUGAUGUUCAUGAGUUUCUCAUUGUACUUCACAUUUAAACACAAUUUACACGCUGAGCCAACAAAAAAGAAAAAUGGAAAGGAUAUAAUGGAAAAAUGCAAGCAAGUCACGCGUGCUUUUAUGCCUAGCAUUCACUGCAAUCAAACAUAAAGAGAAAUACAAGAGAAAAAUCCAUAAUACAUGAAACCGUUUUAUUAAUAUAUUUUAAUUUUUU
Pieris brassicae (large cabbage white) is the source of this 368-nucleotide long non-coding RNA. RefSeq lists it as uncharacterized. The transcript is spliced from 2 exons. NCBI's taxonomy places the organism in Eukaryota, Metazoa, Arthropoda, Insecta, Lepidoptera, Pieridae. The record is from RefSeq and is a predicted model, not a curated record.